RNAcentral lists this long non-coding RNA (4607 nucleotides) under Panax ginseng (ginseng). Its description in RNAcentral is "long non-coding RNA (PGIN_LNC017687)". Lineage: Eukaryota; Viridiplantae; Streptophyta; Magnoliopsida; Apiales; Araliaceae. The record is from RNAcentral.
GACUAAUUAAAUAGUGUAUUCAAGGAGUUAGCUAGCCUCACUCACGGGCCUCACAUUUAUAAAUAGGACCUUUAGCUCUCUUAUUUCCUCACACCAAAUUAAUCCUCAUCGAUCAACAAAACCAAUUCUUCAAGUUCUUCUAUUUUCUGCUAUUAAUUAAAUUUAUAAUGGGGGUGGUGAAGACACAUGUUGAGGCUUUUUCUCCGGUUCCAGCACAUAAAAUGUUCAAGGGUUUUUUCCUGAGUCUUUUAACUAUCGUCCCUCAACUUUUGCCACAGUACUUUAAGAGUGUCGAAAUCCUUUCUGGAGAUGGUGGAGUUGGAUCCGUCUUCACAGUCAAACUUGCUGAACGUACGUAUAUACGUUGAUUAACUUUUAGUUAGUUUUCUUUCUAUAAUUAUACGUACGUACAUGCAUGCAUAUAUAUUGUAUGUAUUUAGCAACUAAUUUGUACCUUAAUUCUUUGACAAAUAUUAUAAUUAAAUUGGCAACCACAACCAACGUGGCAUGCAAAGGCAUUUCAUAUCAUAACUGGCGAUGUAUAUAUGUUUUUUUUUUCUUCUGAUACAUAUAUAUGCAAUUAAUUUAUACACAUGUUUAAUUUCUCUUGAUCGAAUACAUGCAUGCAGUGGGCAAUGUUACGAGCAUGACACAAGUGGUGGACAUAGUUGACAAAGAGAACAUGAUAUUCCAGUACACCAUAAUUGAUGGUGAUAUUCGAUUGGGAAUACUCGACACUGUCAUUUGUCAUUUUGAAGUUCAUCCUACCCAUGGAGGGUGCAUAGUGACGAAAUCUGUCGCAUAUAUCCCCAAGAACUAUUCAGACGAGAUUCCGAAAUGGGGGGUUGAGCAGUCCGAUAUGAUAUCACUUUUGAUUCUCAGGUCCGUUGAAUCCCACAUCCUUGCAAAUCCGAAAAAGUACUGAGAACAAGUAUCAAUCAUUUUUUAAUUUGGUCAUGGGUUUAAGUACGGGGUCAAAUUAAUAAAUUAAAGCUGCCUUAAUCUGUUUUAAUAAUAAGUCCAGUACUGUAUACUGUGACGGCUCAAGUUUCUGGGCAAAUAAUUUGUAGGUUUUGUAUUUGUAUUGCAUUAUAUAUAUGCAUGAAGUGGUUGAUGCCCACAAGUACUGUAUUGUGUUUAAUUGUUAAAGUUUGAGCAUCAAUAUGUAUGCAUGUAUGUUAAUUUAUGUUAAAACAUGUGACGAAGUUUCGAAGAGAAAAUUAAUGUACCUUCUUUCUUGCUUUGAUGCAUGAUUCUUGAUUUCAUGCAUGAUUCUCAUUUGUAUGUAUUAUCAAGCUUUUAACGUAACAUUUGAUCAUAUAGAUUUAUAUAUAUAUAUAUAUAUAGCUCGGCUCUCUCCAGCGAACUGAAGGGAGCGAAUUAAGAGCGAAUUAGCUAUAACGACGAUUUUUUUCAUCGUUAUAACAUAAAAAACUGUGUUUCUAUGCUAUAGCGACGGAAGAAACCGUCGUUAUAGCCGGUUCAUUCUUAGUUCGCUCCUUUCAGUUCGCUGGAGAAGCGGACUGUAUAUAUAUAAUCCUUUUUUAUAUAUCAUUUAUAUAAAAUAAAUAAAAAUGAAAAAAAUUAUUGAUGGAGAAAUUAAGAUUGUCAAGUAGGAUUUAUAUAAAACCUUGAGUGCCAAACUAGUUUUCCAAGUUGUGUAUUGUAAAAGAUAUUGCCCAGUCAACUUGGAGAUUUGGAGAGGGGAUGCAUCAAAACACGUACACAGGUACCUCUCUCUAAUCUCUAUACGGCCAAUGCCCUAUAAAUAUGGGUGUUAGAAUUUUGGAGAAAAAAAUAUUUAGAUAUAUAUUCAGAUAUAUUGAGAUAGAUUUAGAUAUAUUGAGAAUUUGAGAUACAUUCACAUAUAUAUAUAUAUAUAUAUAUAUAUAUAUAUAUAUAUAUAUAUAUAUAUAUAUAUAUAUAUAUAUAUAUAUAUAUAUAUNNNNNNNNNNNNNNNNNNNNNNNNNNNNNNNNNNNNNNNNNNNNNNNNNNNNNNNNNNNNNNNNNNNNNNNNNNNNNNNNNNNNNNNNNNNNNNNNNNNNCUCAGAAAUAUUUUAAGAAUUUUCAUAAUUUUUUUUUUAUCUUGUAAUAUUCAGAUAUUUAUUUAGUGAAUUUCUUCUUUUUUCUCCCUGGUCUUUUUCAAUUUGAGUUUCCACAUUAAAUCUUGUGUUAUUGUCUUUAUUUUUCUGCGUUGAUUUAUUGUGUUUGCCAUAAUUUGUCAUACCAAUAGGUAGCUAGGACAUAUGUAUAUCUAUAUACAUAACGGAUCUAAAUCACUCUUCUUAAAUAUUAAAUAACACUCUUUUAUUAAAAUUAUAUCGUUUUGGAGAUUCUUUUAAAAUAGAAAAUAAUAUUAAAAUAGAGUGUUCUUACUUGUAUUUUAAAAGAAUCUUCAAAACAACGUAAUUUUAAUAAAAUAGUGCUAUUUAAGAUGAGUGUUAUUUAAGAGAAGUGUUUUAGAUCCGUCCUCUAUCUAUAUAUCUAUAUAUCUAUAUAUUUAUAUAUUUUAUUAACUAGCUUAAUAAUAUAGUUGGUCUGUACAAUCCUGUUUUUAAUAUAUAUUUAAAUUAUACCUAAAUUAUUGAAUUUUGUAAAAUUUUCAAUUUUAAUAAAUUUUUUGAGAGUCAAUAAAAAAAAUUAGACUGGUCACUAAACCGGUUAGCACUUCCCAAUCCCCCUAGAUUUAUUCUUAUACAUAUAUAGGUAUAUAAUUGGUGAGCUAGGGGGAAAGAAAAAGAAAGAAAUAUGCACAGCUGUAUAUAUAUACCAAUUAGCUUGAUAAUUGAGCAAGGGGGAUAUACGAUCAUGCAUUGGAAUCAGGGGCGGAUCCAGCUUAUUAGUUCAGUGGUGUCAAUUUUUUAAAAUAAAAAUUUAUAAAAAAAAAUAAAGACGCCAGAAUGUGAGAAAUAUUUCAAAUAAUUGUGUGAGCUAUCAUAUAAAAUUGAUAUUGUUUUAUGUAAUUGAAUACAUUUCGAAUCCUCAAUUUUAUGUUAUAUAUAAAAUAAUAUUUUAUAAUUUUUUAAAACACUGUUAUUAUAAGAGACAUUUUUUGUAUCCUUUAAAAUAAAUUACAAAACUAAAUAAUAUUGUUAAAAUAUUAUUUAUAAUAACAUUUUUCGAUAUUUCAUUGUUUGAAACUAUCGUAAUGAUAGUCUCAUUUCAAUAGCUGCAAAAAUAUCAUUUUCAAUGUAAGUUACUAAAUAAUAUAAAAGAGUGGAUUAUUUGUGUUAGUAGAAAUUUGAGAUAUUUAAUAGUUUUUUAAUCUAAAUUUUUAUUUUCACUAAACACUAUAAAAUCAAAAUCAAAUUGAAAAUUGACUCCCAAAAAUUGAGUGGGGUCAAUUGACCCCACUGCCCUAAGGUAGAUCCGCCCAUGUUUGGAAUUGAAUUUGGAGCAGAACUUUUCUUGGUUUUAAAUUCGGAUCAGUUGAGAUGUAUAAGGGCAUGGUUUUGUAUAUGUUUUGUAUAUGCAUGUUGUUUUAAUGCUUCCGAUGGUUUGUUUUCUCAUAGGGUAGGUUUAGAUCUCAGCUAAAUUUUUUCAAUAGCGGUGGUGACAGGAGACUAUAUUCAUAUUGGCGCUGUUAAUUUAAUAUUUUAAAUAAAUAAUGAGCAUGUAACUUAUAAAUUAAUAAUAAAAAAUAACUUAUAAAUUAGUUUAACUAACUUAUAAAUUAUUUCCGAACAUGGCUUACGUGGUACGGUUGGACAUUUGAAUAUAGGGAAUGUCGUUGGAUUGCAAAAUUAAGAUUAAUAUAUAAAAUUGUAGCAUGAAUUUAUUAUUUUAAUUUGUGAAAUAUGUCAUUUGAUUUUACAACAAUAUAACAAGCCCUUAUUUGUGACGUAUUGUACAAAAUAUUUUAAAAUUAAAUAUUUUGGAUUAAUUUUUGACAACUAAUAUUAUAUCGUACAAUAUUGUAUAGUAAUUGUAUUUUAGAGAGAGAUUUAUUAUUUUAAUUAACCAACUUCAAUGACGAAAAGAAUUAAAAAAACAUGGGAAUUCAAUUACGUGUAAUAUAUGUUCUUUUUUGGUGUGGUCAAUUGUAAUUGAGUGCAUUGCUUAUCGGUUUUUUGAGUUAUAUAUAUAUAUAUAUAUAUAUGUGGUAUAUAUAUAUGUGGGAUAUAUGUAGUACACAGUCGUUUAUGACGACGAGUGAACUGUCGUCAUAGACCAAAAUAACUAUAGCGAGACUGUGUACUACGCAACUGUAUAUAUAUAUUUUUUCAUAUAUAUAUAUAUAUAUAUAUAUAUAUAUAUAUAUAUAUAUNNNNNNNNNNNNNNNNNNNNNNNNNNNNNNNNNNNNNNNNNNNNNNNNNNNNNNNNNNNNNNNNNNNNNNNNNNNNNNNNNNNNNNNNNNNNNNNNNNNNAUUUAGAUCCGAUAGUUAUCAACUAAUUAAAUAGUGUAUUGAAGGAGCUAGCUAGCCUCACUCACGGGCCUCACAUUUAUAAAUAGGACCUUUAGCUCUCUUAUUUCCUCACACCAAAUUAAUCCUCAUCAACAAAACCGAUCCUUCAAGUUCUUCCUUUUUCUGCUAUUAAAUUUAUAAUGGGGGUGGUGAAGACACAUGUUGAGGCUUUUUCUCCGGUUCAAGCACAUAAAAUGUUCA